Molecule: unclassified non-coding RNA, 19 nt
Filed under: synthetic construct
Source: RNAcentral
GGGCCAAUGGGAACAUCAA